UGCAGAGUUUGAAGUUUGCCCAGAUGGUUUUCUGUCUUUUCUGAUCCAGAACUCUCAGCUGCCUUAUAUGCCUGUGUGCUUCCAAGUUCCCCACCAUGAGGAUAAUGGACUAAACCUCUGAAACUCUCUACAGAUCUGUCCCAGGACCUGGCCCAUGCUAAGAAAGUGAGUCACAGACCCACAAUUCUCACACACUGCAAAGAGGGUGCCAUCUUGACCCCUGGUCCUGUUGGGUAUGUUACUCAGUCAGAAGGGAGGAACAUCCUCUCCUACAUGUUGUAUGGAUGGGAAAAGCAUCCAUCAACCGAACCCACUGAAACUAGAAGCCAAAGGAACAUUUCUUCCUUUAUUUUUAUCAGGCAUUUAGUCAGCAAUAAAGCAGUAACUACUCAUCCAGUAUAGUCGAGAGGUAGAGCAAUAUCCUUGCAUGCAUGAGGACCUGAGUUCAAUCCCUAGAAUCAGGUGUUACAACUUUCUUCCAAAAAAGUAAGAUUAGAGGGUAAAAGAAUAAGUUUUAG
Microtus ochrogaster (prairie vole) is the source of this 518-nucleotide long non-coding RNA. RefSeq lists it as uncharacterized. The record is from RefSeq and is a predicted model, not a curated record. Lineage: Eukaryota; Metazoa; Chordata; Mammalia; Rodentia; Cricetidae. The transcript is spliced from 4 exons.